ACAUCCAAGGAAGGCAGCAGGCGCGUAAAUUACCCAAUCCUGACACAGGGAGGUAGUGACAAUAAAUAACAAUGCCGGGCCUUUGUAGGUCUGGCAAUUGGAAUGAGAACAAUUUAAACCCCUUAUCGAGUAUCAAUUGGAGGGCAAGUCUGGUGCCAGCAGCCGCGGUAAUUCCAGCUCCAAUAGCGUAUAUUAAAGUUGUUGCAGUUAAAAAGCUCGUAGUUGGAUUUGUGGCUGUCUCGAGCGGCCUAGCACCUAGUGUUAGUGCCUGCUUGGGUCGCCAUCCUUGGGUGGAGCCUGUGUGGCAUUAGGUUGUCGUGCAGGGGAUGCCCAUCGUUUACUGUGAGAAAAUUAGAGUGUUCAAAGCAGGCUUAUGCCGUUGAAUAUGUUAGCAUGGAAUAAUAAGAUAGGACCUCGGUACUAUUUUGUUGGUUUGCGCACGAGGUAAUGAUUAAUAGGGACAGUUGGGGGUAUUCGUAUUCCAUU
RNAcentral lists this ribosomal RNA (486 nucleotides) under uncultured diatom. RNAcentral's name for it is "SSU rRNA". It matches the Rfam family "Eukaryotic small subunit ribosomal RNA", at positions 412 to 903 of the family's 1831-position model. Lineage: Eukaryota; Bacillariophyta. The record is from RNAcentral.